Molecule: ribosomal RNA, 245 nt
Filed under: uncultured Bacillaceae bacterium
Lineage: Bacteria; Bacillati; Bacillota; Bacilli; Caryophanales; Bacillaceae
Description: partial 16S ribosomal RNA
Rfam family: Bacterial small subunit ribosomal RNA
Source: RNAcentral
UACGUAGGUGGCAAGCGUUGUCCGGAAUUAUUGGGCGUAAAGCGCGCGCAGGCGGUUCCUUAAGUCUGAUGUGAAAGCCCACGGCUCAACCGUGGAGGGUCAUUGGAAACUGGGGAACUUGAGUGCAGAAGAGAAGAGCGGAAUUCCACGUGUAGCGGUGAAAUGCGUAGAGAUGUGGAGGAACACCAGUGGCGAAGGCGGCUCUUUGGUCUGUAACUGACGCUGAGGCGCGAAAGCGUGGGGAG